Molecule: non-coding RNA, 16941 nt
Organism: Rattus norvegicus (Norway rat)
Lineage: Eukaryota; Metazoa; Chordata; Mammalia; Rodentia; Muridae
Source: RefSeq, a predicted model, not a curated record
GAAGAUCUGAGGAUGGGAGGCGCCCUAGCGGACUCCGUAGCAGCAACCGCUGCCUAGUGAGGCCCGGUUAGUGAGGCUCCAUGCUUUAUUGGAUGGAGGUUUUCCUCAGCUAAUUUCAUUCUGUGCCCACACUCUGUCAUCCACUUAGCAUUCCUGGAGAAGCCAGCACAGCUCCUAUCGGGGGACUCCGUAUGACAACUCACACCCCGGCUAACAGCUAAGAAACCUCAAGCUCUUCCUCCAUCCGGAAACAUGGCUUCAUCCUGCUGUCCUUGAGGAUUUCAGCCUGUUCCUUUUGCUCUGUUAGCUGGCCAACAUCCAUGGAGCCAAUUCCAAAUACGGAAUCUCUACUAUGAGAAGCAUCUGGCUUACGCCCGGUUCUUGGUGCCGUGUCGGUGUGGGCAUCGACAAAUGGAGGUUCCACCAAGAUCAGAGAAGAGAAGAUUUCUGAAGGCUGGCCAGUGAGGAAGCAGGGACAUAUUGGGGAACGACUUGAUGAUGGCCCUUGGUGUUAUGGCCCUCCAAGUUUUGGCCCUAGGGCCCUUGUGCUUCUUAUCACAUGCGCAAACAGCACUUCCAGUCCUGGGCAGCAACUAAGCAGGCAGUUUUCAAAUGAAGCCAAAGAGUGAUGGACGAAUUGCCCACGUUUCCCUUGACAGCAGCACGAAAGGCAUCGGUGUUGGGAUGGGCAUUUGGAGGAUCUGGGUAUGAAGCCAUUGAGUUCCAGAGUUUACAGGACAGAUUGAUGAGGUUUGUAAUCCUUCCUAAGGGUAGCUAACUGGGGCUCUCCCCAGGUAGACAAGACGGCAAGGCUAUUCCCCUCAUCCUCUGUGCAGACCCACCUGGAGUUAUGUACCAUUGGUGCCAGGCCAGAGGCCAUGGCGAACCUGAGGAGCACUGCCUUGGAAGAGCAGGCAUAGUAGGACAACGGUUAGAUUUAAAAUGUGUGUGGUCAGAAACCAGUCUAUGCAAACCACCUCUUAGCUGUGGCCCAUGUGACAGAAGGCAAAGUCCUUACUGUUGUCUGCUCUCCAGUUUCCAGAGUUGGGGACUCUGGUGCUAAGUUUGAGUAGGCAUCGGCAGAGGAAACAGCUCUGGAAGUGUGGACAUAGGCAUAGGGAAUAGGAAGUGUGGAUGUCGUCAGAAGAAAUAGCCUGGAAGUGCAGCCUCGGAUCUGCUCCCACCUCGUCAGUUCACGUCUUUGGAAAAAUUCAUCUGUAAAGUUCUCCACAUCUUUACCACAUCUAAGAAGUUCGUGACCUUGAUGUGACAAGUGACACUCAACCCCUAGAAACAGGACUUAACUUUCUGCUUAUAUUGUUACUUUCCCUUGAAAGCUAUACUGGUGACAUAUAUUUUUUUCAGUGGUCUUUGCAUCUCAGGGAGUAAGUUCAUGGCCAAGAACCCUGACGGUUCUGUAGCUUUCACAGCCAUUUUCCUGGGUCAGCCUCAACUUCCUACUGAGGAAGCUCUUUGCAGUGCACUUGCCGCUCACAUAUACAUACAUAUGUAAGCACACACACACACACACACACACACAUGCAUACACACCCACACACAUACACACACACACACACACACACACACACACACACAAGCACACAGGCACACUGUGCAGACCUAUCUCUUUCUGAACUUGAAGUUCAUGGGAAAUACAUGCUAUAGCAAAUUAAAAUGGGAACUUUAGAUCAGUUUUAGGUAUGCAGUACCAUCAGGUCAUCUGUGAAACAUAUCCUGCUGUACAAGUCCUCCUGUGUGACCUCCUUUCACAACAUUAUAGGAAGGCAACUGCAUUUCCAUCCACAAACGCUGCAUCCCUGGCUAAACAAUGAAACACAGAGAAGAAACUGCACUGUGGGCCUCUACUUGCUUUUCAUAGGUCAGAGCUACUCCAUCUUGCCACCUCUAGCUGCAAUGUAAGAUAAAAAUCUAUACUUUUCUCUGGGUCCAUUGAUAUCCUGAACCAGAUCAGUCCCCAUUAAAAAGGGGAACACUUAUGAAGGAGGCUAUUCACAGUGAGCGUCAUGCCAAGAGGGAUCUAAGUAGGGAACUGGCUGUGGUGGCACACACCUAUAAUCCCAGCACUCAGGACGCUAAGGCAGGAGGAUUAUCAAAUUCAAGAGCUACAUAGUAAGACUGUCUUGAAAGAAUAAAUUGUGACCAGAUGGAUUGUGACCAGGUAGCUAUAAUUGUAUGGGAAGAAAAUGUCAUGGCCUCUGCUGCAUUUCAACUGAGCUGCAUGAAGAGGAGCAGGUGGUGAGAGCUGAAUCUAGCCACCUGCUCAGAAAUGAUUUGUAGAGCAUUUGGACCAUAAGGAGUUGAAAACACCGUAGACCAUUUAAUGGUGAAACCUAAUCCCACAGAGACUGUGCUACAAGGUGUGGCCUCCUCGAGGUGGUCAGGUUUUAGUGUCCCUGUUCCAGAGAUCUAGCACCCUUCCAGCAUCUGCCAUCAGAGGACACCACAAGAAGGCAGUGUGCAUGAACCAUGAGGAUAGCACUCUGAAAGACAUCUAGAGUGCUAUGGCCACCAUCUUGACUCUCAGUCUCUGGGACUAUUAGAAAUAAGUUUCUGAUGUUUGUUCACUGUGAAAGAAUAGCACACUUUUCCCUUUCACAUCAUGAGGACUUGUCUUGUUCUAUGAGUGGAUUCACAGAAUCUUCACUUGUCAGCCUAUUGUUCCUCUAACAAAUGCAUUUAAACAAAAAAAGAAAAAGAAAAAAAAAACCAAAGGAAAAACUCAAGGUAGACAGCUCCUUAUGUUGACUCCCAAGGUUGACUUUUGACCUCUACUUACAUGCACACACAUGUGCCUGUGAAUACACACACACACACACACACACACACACACACACACACACACACAAAUGAUUUAAGAGGUUCUGUGUGUUUUUCUCCCAGUGUUUGAAUAUCUUUCUAAGUUUUGUGAGAUAUUCUGCAGAGUGAACUAGAUUGAAUUAUCCUUAGUCUGGACAAGCUAAUAAAAGACCACAGAGGUUUGCAGACAGGAAACCCAGUCUCACCCUCUCCAGGAAGGCUGGACAACCUGCUGUUCCUGGUCAUGACAGGAUGCCUCCUGAAAAUAAAGCAGGAAGAAGUUGGGCACUGAAACCAAGGAAGAUUUUUGCAACCACAUUGCAUUUGGCACACAGCAGUCCAAGGGUGUCAAACUCUAUCAUUAGAGGAAGAAAGGUCAACUCCAUUAACACAGUUUACAGACAAGAACUAGACCCUGCUCAAAGUGACUCUCCAAGGAGAAAGUUGCUCUCACAAUAAGCAGAGCACAGAAACAGAUAUACAAUAGUUCAAGUGUCAUCUGAAAUGCUGUGGGACUGGGAAACCCCACUGAAGAUGUCUCUGAGCUUGAACCUCAGGUACUGACGACUGGGAAACUAUAGUUCUUUGUGACGAACGGCAAUGCCUUUCCUCUUCAGAUAAUCUAUGCAUUGGUUUUGGAAUAGGUGUUGUUACUGACAAAGUUAGGCAUCAUCUCCUAGCCCUUCCCUGUUUCCUUUGAGAGAAGCUGUACACAUGGCUGUCUUGAAUGCCUUAGGACGUUCAGAUGAAAGGCUCAGCCUGACAGAACUUGUGUUCGUUGAACAGACCCCUCUACCACUUCCGGGAAUGUGAUACUAUGGUGCAAUAUGGACUAUCAGGAAUAUGAUGGCCAUCCACUCUAAGACUUCUCUAUAGGGUACAGAUAAUUGAAGUAUUGAGUAGAUUCUGUAUACACAUGGGAAGGGCAUUGGCAAGACUGGGACCAAAAGUAACGGGAAGAAAUUCUGGUAUCUAUGGGACAAGGCGUUCUAAGUUUCUUUGAGUUUUCUCAUAGCUGUGACCAACCCUUGAUAAGACGUAUCCUAAGGGAACAAGCCCUUCUUUUGGCCAAGGAGAAGGCAUGGUAGCAUGAUCAGCUUCUGCCUGAGGUGGCAAAACCAGCUUUCAUCUGAGGUAGCAGGAGCUUGCAGUGUUACUGGCUCACAUCUUAGCAGCCAACCAGAAAAGCCUAGAAAUCACGGCUGGGAAAAGGGCUCGUCUAUAAGUCCCAGGACCUGUGCUUCCAGCAACCCAACUCGUUCUUUAAGAUCCCACCUCCUGAAGGUUCCACAAUCCCCCAAACAGGACCAUUGUGUAGUGACACGUGAGCCUGUGGAGACAUUUUACAUCCAAUCUUCAGCAAGAAGUGAUCUCUUUAAGGGUCUGACAGAAAAUUCUCAGCUGUAUUUUGAUGGGUUUUAGAAUACCUAUCCUAGCUCUGCCCUUUCUCAAGAAAUCUGGUUCUGCCUACAAAAUCUGAUUGACGGAUGAAACAGGCUCACAUUCAUGACCAGCACUGGGUGGGACGAGAGGUCAGAGCAGACAUGUCCUGCUCCAGAGUCACACAUCGAAGCAUUGGUCUGACAUCAUUUGCUCUCUAAUUGGCAUCACAAACUUAACACAGCCACCACACAAAUUUAAUCCCCUGCCCGUCUGCUCUUGCUUUCCCAGUCUUCCCCAUGCAUACAGUGCCUCCGGUAGAAGCUGUGUGGUCAGCAUCGAUAUAUCCUUCCCUCCUCAGCAUCCAACUAACCCACAAACUGUGCAGCAUCCCCAUGACUGCUUCUCACCAACUGUGCUACCAGCCCGGGGCCAAGCCACUGCUGCCUCUCAAGGGAGAUUCCUUUAGUUACCUCCUACCUGCCUUCCUCACUCCUGCGCUUGCUCUCUACAUCCUGUUGUUCACACAGACACUGGAGUACCUUUUGAAGCAAUACUGCAAGUUUCAGGUCUUUCCAAUCCCUGACUCCUCCUUUCUCCUGGGAGGUGAAAAACUACAUAUCCCAAAACAUCCUACAAGUCCUUCUGUGAGUUCUCACGACCUCUCUCAGACCUUCCAUGCUGCCACAUCUCUGUGUGCAUUUUGCUCCAACUACCAUGGCUUCCGGGUGUCUCUUCAAAGCAUGAGUCACCUUGCUUACGGCCUUGGCACAGACUGACCCCUCUGCCAGAAGUCAUCCUUCCUCAGAUUUCUCCCUUGAUGCUCUGAUUAGCAUUCACGGCUGAAUGCCUCCUUUGACCACACCUUUUAAGUGGCACAGCAUGCUCUUCUUCUGUGGCCCUCUCUCUAUCUCCUUUCCUCACGGUACUUUUCUGCACCAUCAACAUUGUGUUGACUUGUUUGCUCUGCUUUUCCGAGUAUUGUCUUAACUUCCACUAAGGGGAAUGGCUUGACCCCAUGCCCAAAUGCAGCAGGCAUUCUUUAGUAUUUAGUCAGUGGAGGCAGAUGAGUCUGGGCAUCUAUAGACAAUAGAGAAAGCUAGACCACAUGGGUCAAGAACAUGCAAGGUUGGAGGCCAUGUUGGAUCUGCUGGAGGAAGCUGGCUAAGGAAGGAGCUAGAGAGAGGAAAAAAGUAGACAAGCCUGAUCAUUGCAGACUGUUUCAUUUCUAGUCACUUCCCUCCUGUCCCUCUGUUCAUAAGUCUAGCUGUCUCAUAGCAUCUUUACCUGUAGUGAGACCUACCUUUGGAGGUUUUCUGUUAGAUCUUACCAUGAAACCUACUCUAUCUGAACUCCCAGCCAUUUUUUUUUUGUACAGCCAGCAACACUGAGCACAGGCUUAGAUCAGACACUGUCAAGUUCCCAUUGCCCUGCUAUCUUUUCCCUUUCUAAUCCCAAAAUCGCAGCUGGGAGAAAUGAGCUAAACAGCCAUUGUGUUUCCUACCUUACAUGGUAUCAAGAGCCUGGCGGGCACACAUCUUUCCACUGCCCCACAGUAGUAGUCCCUACCAGAGGGAGAUGACAAAACCAGAACAGACCAGUCCCUCCUCUAAUAGAACAGUCUACAGCUUGAGUGUGGGACCCACUCUUUGGACAAUUGGUCAAUGUGGAAUAGCCUUCUUUCUCCACAAAGGGAAUUCAAUCAUCCCUGCUGCUCAGAGCUUAUUUUUAUUAAAUAACUAACGCUUGAAAGAGUACCCUCUGUAUUUCCUCAAAGAUUCUGGGCGUACCAGCAACGGGCCCUAUCUAUAGCAACAACGGCUGUUGUUUGCACAGCCCCCUUCUCACACACCUCCUACAGCUGAUUGUUUGACAGCGCUAAGUGAAUAUUAACUGCACAGCAUAGUUAAUAAAUAGGAUUACUUUCCCUUUGCACACAUGAACACAUAAAGCCAACACUUACGGAACUCCUAUCAUGCCAUGAGGAAGUGAGAAGAUGAAGACAUGAGGAUAAUGGCAAACUCGCCUAAGCAUCACAGAGCCCACUCAGGGACAUGUCGCUGUGAUGGGGCAAGCUACUGAUUCCUCUGCCUCCAAUUAUCACAUUUCCCGUCAAAGACUAGGAAAGACUUGACUGCAAACAGAACAGUUUUUACUGCAUUUUGCCAACCUUUUUAAUAAAAAUAGAUCUAUGCCACCACCCACAUUCUCAGGAAAAAAUUCUACCCAGGAAACAUAAUUCCUCUCUUCCAGUGACUUCACAUGAAAGGUUAACGGUACACUGUGCUGUCGGCAGCCAGCAACAUUCAUAUUUUCACAUCUCACUUAAGAGCUCCAUUAUUCUGUAGGACCGUAAGCAAAUGACUUUAUUUCAACCACCACCAACAGACCUUGCUAGCCUAAUACUAACUAGGCUCACUUUGACAGCUUCCUACAAGCAUUCAUUUCAAGACUGGCCUAAAACAAUAAAUGUUACCACCUAUUCCUGCAGAUGGCAGGGACGGGGAAGGCAAGCCAGUUGUACCACAGCAGGUCUGCAGCCUGGGCUAUUAAGCAGCCCAUUGUUUUGUUCCUGUUAGGAUUGGUCACUGAACUUCAAGGAACCUCAACCCCACGGGACUCAAGUACUCUUGUCUGAAAUGGGUAGGGAGAAGGAAUCUAGCAUGGAUCCCUGCUCAUUAAAGGGAAAGCCGCUGGGUAUUUCUUUCUUCCCUGAAAGAACCUACCUGUGGGCUCUAGAAACAGAAGUUCGUGGAUACUUGUCAUAGUGGCCAUUAAGGAACUGGAGCUCCAGCAACCCAUGCUAUCCCAAAGACACACUGAGACUGGCAUGUGUCACACUAAAUGGAUGGUUCUCAGAAUAUACACAACCAUGUGCUUCAAGAAACUCUAGCUGGCUCAGGCUGCCCACUUGCUUUAUAAACCUUAAGGCCAAGUGUCUGAGAACAUGAGAGGGCCUGAGGGUCCCAGAUGUGUGAUAUAUUUUGUUGAUAGAAAAGGUUUGCAGGAAACUGUUCGAGAGAUUGGUGGUGUUUUCCUUCUGCAAUGUGGUACCUAGAGCACCUGUACCGUGUUCAUCUACAUCACAUUCGGGCUCCCAGCUCAUUCCUUGGCUCCAAUUGUCUAACAGAAAGGCAUUAUUUUAGCAAGACCUGUAUCUAAGCGCAGUACAAACAAAGAAGAAUAUUUAUUUAAAAUAACAAGCUCGAAGAGACAAAUGCCUUUUAGGACAAGGCUGACACCUGCAUGUUUGUUUAUCUGUUUAUUAUUACAUUCUCAGAGACAGGAAGGGGCUGGUCUCUUGUACAGGCCCAACAAGUUAGAGAAAUGCACCUUUAGGAACAGAAGCAAUGCAAGGGUCUUUCAAUUUAUUUAUUGUUAUCAUGCUUCAUUCCAGGUCUCCCUUUGAGACAUGAGUUCAUGAGUUCUUGUCAUAUCCAUUGCACAGUUAUUUAAGAAGCUCUGUAGCUGAGAUAUGAGUCUCUGUCUCUAUCACAAAGUGAUACAAAUGGCAGUGUCUCUCUGAACAAGACAAAAGUGGCUCAUCCCCCCUCAGCACCUCCACUUCCACUCCAAAUAGUCAAAUGCUCAUCCUUCGUACAGGCCACAGAGUACACUGCUGAAUACAGGAGAUUCGAACUUCAUUAGUCAUCCUAGAAUCAUUUGUUCUUUACGCCAUAAGUGAAGAAAUCAGCAUCUAUAUAAUGGUGAGGGUGGUAGUAGUGUAGUAGAGUAGUAGUAGUAGUGGUAGUAGUAGUAGUAGUAGUAGUAGUAGUAGUAGUAGUAGUAGUAGUAGUAGUAGAGCUCUCUUCCCCUACAGGGUGCAGUGGUGAUGGCUGCAGAAUUCCUUCUGAAUUCAGCUGUGGCUCCAUCCCAGCCGAGGCCGUGACUCAGAUUCAAGGCCAUUCACUGGGCCACUUUGAAUAAUGCAGCAGAAAGCUAGAACAAAGUAAAAAAUUACCCUGAGGUCUGAGCAUCCUCUCUCCCUGCUUCCAAGAGGCCAAAAGAAAAGUCCAUUCGCUUCAUUCCUUGUAUUGAUUAACAGUAAUUUUCCCCCAGUAGUUGAAGAAGAAGACAAUGACAAAUACUCAUCAGAGAUGAAUCUAAUCCCAGGGUCUUCUUUGCUUAUGAACUCAUAAAGCCUGACACAGCUCUAAUGUGUGGGCUGGCCCACAACCUUUACUCUCAAUUGUCUAAUCAAAUCUACAAACGAAAGCCAAGAAGAUACCUUCCUUCCCUUAAAAUCAUCCAUAAACCGUAGAUUACUCAAGGCACCUCAGCAUAAUUUAGGUUUAUCUUUGCAAUAAACAGAACAUUCCAGAACAUACCUUCUAGAUCUUUCCUGACCAGCCAAGCCUCAUAACUACAGUCAUGAAAUUAAACAAGAGAGCAAACUGCCUCUACCCAGCACAAGCUGAAGGGCCUUUUUAUUUUUCCUCUUUAUUUAACUAACAUAUUAACCAAACUAAAGCUUAUGUGUACUUGUGUAUUUUUUAAAAUAUGUCUCAGUUGUUAAAGUGCUUGUCAGGCAAACACAGGGACCUGAACUCAUAUUCCUAGCAUCCACAUUAAACACUGGGCAUAGUAGCAUGCACCCAGAAUCCAUUUUGUGCUAAGGAGAUGGAGACAGGAGCAUCCCUAGAGGUCCUGGGACAAUGAGCCUAAACAAAUCAGUGAGCUCAAGGACCAGAAACCAGGUCCCAAAACAACAAGCACACAGACAGAAACAAUGGAGUAUGCCAGAGAAGCCAUAGAAAGAUAUCCAACACGUGUGCAUGCAUACCAAACACACACACACACACACACACACACACAGAGAGAGAGAGAGAGAGAGAGAGAGAGAGAGAUCCACAAAGCUAAAAGGAAAAAUUCAAACGUAGCCUAUACCAAGCCUUACCAUUCGCAGCUCUGCUACCUCCAAUUCCAUAAUUUUAUAUAAAUUCUUUUUUAUCUCAUAUUUCUCUUUGUAUCUGGGCAUUGUCCAUCAUUUCCUGCUUUGAUAGCAUCAUUUGGCCGUGGGGCUUCCUCCAUUUCCCCACUGUGUCUGGUGUCUACACAGGAAUAUCACCUUUGGAUGACUGCUUCAAUAUGGUAUUCUCAUUGCAAUAACCAUGAACCCAGACGGCCUUGGUCCAAACCUAGCAUCCAAUGGGAACUAGCCCCAUGAACUCGAGUGUGAUAUGAGGUGUGUAUGAGACAGAACCAGCAUCCACAGCUACUUCUUGGGUCUGUGGUGUUGUGUCAACGGAUGAACCAUGCCUUGGUGUGCUGAGCAGAGCCUGGGAAAGCACUGUCUCACCGAGAAGAGAAUGACACCCGACCCUGGAUUACUUUCCCUGUGCACUCCCCAUCUGACCUUGCCUUGAUUUUCAUUCACUUACACUGUCACAUAACUUUAUGUAUCCUGUAAAUUCCCCUAAGACUCAAAUUCCUCUUGCUACAGAUAUUGUUUUACAUAGUUUUUGUUUGUUUUCCUUGAAAACAUUCUUCUGAGAGCAUUUCAUCCAAUUCCCAGGAGCCUGAUGUACACAUCAAAUAGGGGAUUAUUUCUCCCAGAACUCACAGGCUAGGGAUGGGUCAUAAGUUCAAAGGUAACCUGAGCUACACAGAAGUAAAAGCCUGUAUUGAAAAGGAUUUACAUUCCUUUGGAGGGGCUGUUUGUUUGCUUUGUUUUUAUUUUGUUUUGUUGUUGAGACAGGGCUGACUGUGUGGCCCUCGGCUUGCCUUGAACUCAGGAAGAUCCAUGGGAGGAAAACGCUUUCAGCCAAGUGGCCUUGGAAAUGUCUCCAUUACUUAUGAGGUGGCAUAUGUAUGAAUGGAAUUGUUUCCAGCCAUGAAUGGAGGUGUGUAUUUUACAGAAAAAUGUGUGUGAUCAGAGAUGACCAUGUAAUGAGGAUCAAGCCAGACACAGAGCAGUAUAUGCUCUCGCUUAGAUUUCAUACAGAUACAGAAAGUCACACAUGUACAGACACAGAGUAUUAUAUGCUCUCCCUUAGAUUGUAUUCAGAUACAUAAAUCAUACGUGUACAUGAUGUGUGAUAAAAGCAAAACUGUCUAGAUGUACAAUGAGGAGUAAGAGCAGGGGCAUGGAGGAGAGGGGAAGACCUGGAGGGGUGUCCAACGUGCAGUGUGCACUUGUGUGCCAGUGACUUCUGUAUCACAGGAAAAUGCACAAUGCAUAUCAUUGUAAAAUGUGAAAAAUGAAAAUGCCUUUGCUCCUCCUUUGCAUUGGCUGGAUUUCUGAAGACUGUGAAGUGCAGAAUUCUAAGCCAAAACAAUUUGCCCCAAAAUGUUGCAGGCAAUGCUCUGCUGCUGUCCAGACUCCAGGGCUCCCACCGAGGAGAAGUCUAGUGCUGCUUGGAAAAAUGAUUUCUUUUUUCUCUUGCAGCUCAGAAGACUUUCUUCACUCUGGUAUAAAAUGUCAUGAGGACAUGAUGUCAUGAGUUCUUGUCAUAUCCAUUGGACCUAAUCAGCCUGCCUCCAUCUUGGGCUUAGAAAGCCUUCUUAGAGAAAAGACAAACUAGGCUCAUUCCUGUUUAUGUGAAACCUCUGUCUCUCAAGGACUGGGCUAACCCUAACUACAAGUGGUUAUAUUUGUACUCUAUACUGCCUUUCCAGGAAACAGCAACCCUGUCUUUGUUUCAAAAAGUUGUUUAUAACCAUCUUGCAACCCUAACUCUGUUUUAAAAGGUUUUAUGAGCACCUAUUACUACCUUGUUAUGACUACCUGUUGUCAUGACUACCUGUUGUCAUAACUGCCUUGUAAUUCCCACCUAGCAGCCAUGCCCUUUGUUUCAGAAGGUUGUUAGCUGGUGUUUGGUUUUGGACCAGGACAAGGGACUGAGGUGCAUAUUUUACAGAACAAAGCAGCCUGGCCUCCUCCGGGUUCUCUCAGCAUCCCUCAGUCCCUACCUGGCAUACCCUGUCCCCAACCUUGAACAUUCCAGCCCAGAGGCUGGGUUGCCUUUCCCCAGAGGAUCUUCCCUAUAUAAUCCAGAUUUUGCCCCCCACCCCGUGUGUGAGUGUGUAUGUGUGUGUGUGUCUGUGCAUGUAUCUGUGUGUGUACACAACUGUGUUUGUGUGUGUGUAUGAAGGUGCUUAAAUGUAUGGUUGUGCACAUGGAUGAAGAGGCUAGAAUAGGACAUCAAGUGUCUUCCUCUAUCACUCUCUUGCAUUACUGCCUUGAGACAUGCUCUUUCACUGAGAUAAACACUCAUCCCUAACAGGUCAGCCAACUUUCAAAAUCCACCUGUCUCCACCCUAUGCCACCCCAGCACGCUGGGGAUUCAAACUCAGGUCCUCACACUUACAUAACAAGUGUUCCUUAUGUUCCACUCCUUAUGUUGGCCCUUCUGUGCUGUCUUGGGAAUCUCCAUUAGUUGGCAACCAGUUAGCAUGCCCCUUCCCACUACUGCAUUUUCUGACUCCUUACCCAGGGUCUUUCUGUUCAACUUCCAAAGAUCUCUAUGUGUUUCGUUUUGUUUAGAGACAAGGUCUCAAAUCCUUCGUUGUUACUCAUUGUCUCAUGGCUUCAACUUCCAAUAAUGAUUUCUGUUUUCCCAGUGUCUCAUCUGUAUCACUAGCACACUAUUUUAGUUCAAAGAGUGAGAGAGCCUCUCUUAAUUCUCUACAGUACCACUCUGAAGCUAUCUUGUUAAGGUCGUCUUCAUUUAUUUAUAUUUUUUUUCCUUGGAAUUGCUUUUUUCCCCUUCCCCCAUUCCUAUCUCUAGUCUCCAAGCAAAAUAAGCUCCUCAACCCUCUGCUGACAGUUGGCUUGUUCACAAUCAAGAGACUCAUUAAGAAGAUAAGUGUAAGUGCUUCUUCUACAGAGUGGGAGGAACUCGCAGUGGAUAUGGCUCAGGAGCCUGUCUUAUUAGAGGAGGUGCAGCAUUCCUGCUUUGUUGUCAGUUUUCCCAAUACAGAUAACCUCCCAUUCUUGCCUUGUUUCUACAUGAACACUGUUGGGCAUACCACCAUCACUAAUGGCCAGUGAGACAUGUUUCCACCACUGCCACAUUUUCCCUAUGUACAUGCUCCUAGUAAAGCCCACCAUCAUGGCCUAGCCUGUCACUGUCUCUAUGCCAACUAAGACACAGCCAUUUUGUGUCCUCUCCUCCCCAAGAAAAUCUCUUGCAUAGGUUUUGUUGCGUGGUAUGAUUUUUAUGGUAUUUCUUGGCCCCUAAUCAGCCAGAUACUCUUCUGCCACAAAGUCUUUUCAAUCCAGGGCCAUCAGUAGAUAAGUCUAUCUGGAAUUUGGGAGCACAACCCAGUUUAGUAUUGACUGUAAGACUUAUGCAAAACCCUAAAACUCAAGCCCAUUGACACUCACCCAUAGGCUGCUGGCAACCCCAGCUGUGUUCAUUCUUCUUCACAUGUCAUUGUUUCUUUCCCCAUCCCUCAUACACUUGGUGUUUGUAACAUUUGGGUAAUAGUCAGUUACCUUCUCUAUAGAAAGUGUCUUAGCUAGGGUUUUACUGCUGUGAAGAGACACCAUGACCAAGGCAACUCUCACAAGGCAAACAUUUAAUGGGGCUGGCUUACAGAUUCAGAGGUUCAGUCCAUUUUCAUCAUGGCAGCAGGCAGGCAGACAUGGUGCUGGAGAAGAAGCUGAGAAGUCUACAUCUUCAUCUGAAGGAAGCCAGGAGAGGACUAGCUCCCACAUGGGGAAGGGGCAGAGUUUGAGCACUAGGAGCCCUCCAAGCCCACCCCACAGUGAUGUACUUUCUCCAACAAGGUCACACCCAUUCCAAAAAGGCCACCUCCUAAUAGUAGCACUCUCCGUGGGCCAAGCAUGCUCAAACCACCACAGACAGACCAACAAUAAACACUGUUUGAAGAAGCAUGUUUAACAUCACACAACUCAGGUCCUUUACUUUUCAUAUUCUGAUGAGUGACAGAAUCUAACUGAGAAGCCUAACUCCAUGACAUGCUUCAAAUUAGCAGUUUGGAAGACUAGGCCUAAGAACUAGGCAAGUCCAAGCAAGUCAUAUACUAGAAAGAAAGAAAAAAAAGAAAGAAACACCCAGGCUUUAGGCAGCCAGUCAGAAACUGCCCUGCCAUCAGAAGCUACCCCAUCACUUGGCCUAAGGCAAAGACAAUGGGUCAGCAGCAGUUUCCCGGACUUCCCCAGCAACAGUUCCCACCCCUGGUAAUGGUUCUGGAAUGUUCCUAGAAAUGGAGCAAGAUAAAGGUCAUCCACCCUGGAAUCCCCCUAAUGUGCCUUAAAUCUGACCUGUGAGCUCACUUGGUUGUCUCUCCAUUUUGGAUUGGGAGACCCCAGCGUGCUGGACUUCUGCAGAAUAAAACACUCUUUGCGUUUACAGACUAUUUGAGUCUGGGGUGUGAUUCUUUAGAGAAUCACAGACCCUUACACAACGAUCUCAAAGGACAGAGAAAUAUCACCUAAGCAUUUCUCGCUGCAGUGUGAGCAUGACACAAGUCUUCUGUGUACAUUUUACCAACAUCCAGAGCGAAGGACUGUAGAAAUAGAUUUCAGACAUUGCACUAAGACCAAACCAGCAACAAACCUCACCCCAACCAGGUCUGGUAAAACCUGGGUCAUUUUGAAAUUGACCAAACCUCUGACGAGGACCUUGUUCAUACUAAAAAGUCUAAUAUAACCACUUCCAUAACGAAAAUGAAAUUGACCACCUCAGAAGUGCAAUCUGUGAAAAUGUCAGACAUUGAAGCAAACACCGGUACCGUGGCACCGAGACAGAGACAGUGAACUCACCAGAUCCUAGGCUAACCAACCAAUGAGUUCCAGUAUCAAUGAGAGACUCUACCUCAAACGCUAAGAUGGAAACAGAUGGAGGAUGCCCAACAUCCACCUCUGGUGUCCACACACACACACAGAUGUGCACACACACAGAUGUGCACACACAGAUGUGCACGCACAGAUGUGCACACACAGAUGUGCACACACACAGAUGUGCACACACAGAUGUGCACACACACAGAUGUGCACACACAGAUGUGCACACACAGAUGUGCGCGCACACAGAGGAACACAUAUGUGUAAGAGAUUUAUUUAUUUCUUUUCUUUCAAACAGGUUUAAUGGUUCCGCUUGUGUGCCUCCUUCUUCAGGGUCCUUUGUCAGGUAAGCCUUUGUGAUUUCCUGGAAUUCUGAUAAGCUUAAACAUCACUAUUUCUUCAUUUAUCGUCUCCCUCCCUGUCCCACUCCUUUCUAAAUUAGCCAUUCAGAAGGGGAGUGAGGCUCAGCCAUAAGGAACAUGCAAAGUCCCCCUGCGUUAGGGAUAAAAGGCAAAAGAUGAUGUCUAGAGUACGCGUGCUACGCGUGGCCCCGAUCGAGUGUGCUUACACCCUUCGUGUGCAAAGAAAUGGCCUGGCUGAGUUACUCUUACUUUUACCAUGUGUUCCUCUGUGCAAUACCAAAAUUAUUCUUUCCCAGCCCACAGGCAUACAACACACACACACACACACACACACACACACACACACACACACACACACGCUGCAUGCUGUUUUUUUUCUUCAAAAGGAAGACUGGAGUCCCUGUCUCCUUUCAUGAGCCUCCUCCUGAUCUUGGUGACACAGCCUUAGUAAGUACUAUUUUCCCAGGCCCCAUCAUGCUGGCUCUCCUUGGGAGUAUUUUUUCUUCCUGGAAUGCCUGGAAUUACUGGAAUGCUAUUUACCCACAAACUGCCUUCAACUAGUCAUUUCCUACCUAUUCAGCAACUGUCCUGGCUUGCUUCCCCUGCUCUGAGACACACUCUGACUAAAAGCAAUUUGGGAGGAAAGGGUGUGGGUUUGGGGGUGAGGGGUUUGCUUAGGCAUCUGUCACUAUCAGAUGCCAAGACAGGACUGUCCUUAACUGUACUGCUCCUCUUGGCUCAUUCAGCUUCAUUCUUACCCAACCCUGGCCACCUGUUCAGGAGUACCAGCUGCAGUGAGUUGGACUUUCCCUUAUCACUGAUUAAUCAAGUGAAUGCUCCAAAGAAGUGCCCCCAGAUCAGUUCUCAGUGGACGUUCUCUUCGACCUGGUGACUCUUGUUUUGUGAAGUUGACCCAAAUCAACCAGCACAGUGGCUCACCUAUGGAGUUUUCAGGCUUCCUUAACUGGACAAGAGAAUUGGCUUCACUGCCUUUCUCCAUAAUUAUCUGUUAUUCUUUGGCUUCAGACUCUGCAACAAGGGACUGAGGUGAGUUUUCAAGUACCAAAGCUGACCUGGCCUCCAGGUUCUCCCGGCAUCCCUCAGUCCCUACCUGGCAUACCCUGCCCCACAACUGUGAACUUUGCAGCCCAGGGGUUCUUCCCUAUAUAAUCCAGACUUUCUUGUCUUCUCUCUCUCAUUCUCUCUGUAUACAUGUGCUUGCUUGCUUUUUCUUCCCCUACUCUCUCUCUCUCUCUCUCUCUCUCUCUCUCUCUCUCUCUCUCUCUCUCUCUCUCUCUCUCUCUCUUCACAUAGCAAAUUCCCUGACCUCCACCCUUAGGGUCAGUAAAUCUGGCUUGAAUUGAACUGGCUCAUUUCACCAGCAGAGAACUAACUUACCAGAUGGUGCGGAACCCGGGAGGAGUUGGGUCCCCAGUCUGAUGGCUCCAGUCUUUCCUGCCUGUCCAGGGACCACUUCUCUGCCCCUAUCAGUCUGGAGACAUCAUUUCUUCGGACUCUAGCCAUGCAGUCAUCACCUCCUCACUGGGAUUCUGGAUCUUUGCCAACUCUUGAUCAGCAUGACAUCCUCAGGACCAGCUUGACUCCGACUGCUGCAAUAUCCACAAUUAAAAAGGACCAGCCCCUACUGCUGCUGAGGCCAGGACCUGUGCCAUCAUCUGUGAAUAUACUGCUUCCACAGCAACAAAUUCUAACUGGGUUAAAACAGGGUCAAAAGAGACAAGACAGGCAAAAGUCUCUUGUGAUUCUCUCAGGCUCUGGCCCCUCCCUGGCUCACUCCUUUCUCCUUUAUUGUUCUCAUAUUUAUGUUGUUACCUUGUCUUUAAAUAUUUUACCUACCGAACUUCCCCCACCUUGCCCUACAACAGCUCCAUUUAUUCCUGAUGCAUCUGCACAAAGACCUUCUAUAUGCCAUAGAGAUACUUUGACUAAAGGGAUCUUCUUCCCUUUCAGUCCAGGCCAGAAGCAAUUCCUUACAUCAGUCCUCUAUUUUCUCCAGCUCCCUGCCUUUGCUGCUCUGUGCUCCCUGCUACUUCUGCUGGCUCAGUUUCUGUGAAGUGUGUUGGCGAUGGGAACAGUCGCUGUCACCUUGAAUCAACUCAGUGCCCACUUCCUGUCACUUUCCCUCUCCAUUUCUUCCAAUCCCUCAGUUUCACCAGGAAGUCUUUCAGUUUCACUCCAAAGAUGAGACAUCUGCUUAUGACCCUCUAAUAAGCAUUUCCCAUGUCUCCUCAGGAAUACAAGACAGCAGUCACCUGAUCCACUGCGCCUCAUCAAGUUAAGACUCUGCCUUUCUGGUAAAGACCCUCUUCAACAGAAAACAGCUAUAACACCCCUGCCUCACACUUGUAUAUCCUGUCAGAGUUAGGAAGUAUAACUUCUUGCUGAAAGACUACACUUGCCUUGCUGACUAUGAAGUCAUUUCCACCCCAGUAAGAGGCCACACCCCAUCUUCUUCUGUAGGAACCUUGGCCAUCUGCACAGAUUGAGUGGCUAAUCUGCUUCCCUGCCUGAAUGAAUGUGAUCCCACCUAAGGGCAGACCCAGCCUCUCUUCCUUCCACCUCCCAUCUCUCCACAGCUGCCUUUAGUAACCUAACAAUCACAAGAAA